Molecule: ribosomal RNA, 254 nt
Filed under: uncultured prokaryote
Description: partial 16S ribosomal RNA
Rfam family: Bacterial small subunit ribosomal RNA
Source: RNAcentral
ACGGGGGGAGCAAGCGUUGUUCGGAUUUACUGGGCGUAAAGGGCGCGUAGGCGGCCACUGCAAGUCAGUUGUGAAAUCUCCGGGCUUAACCCGGAAAGGUCAACUGAUACUGCAGGGCUAGAGUGCAGAAGGGGCAACUGGAAUUCUCGGUGUAGCGGUGAAAUGCGUAGAGAUGUGGAGGAACACCGAUGGCGAAGGCAGCCCCCUGGGUCAAAACUGACGCUCAUGCACGAAAGCGUGGGGAGCAAACAGGA